AUGCCGACGUACAUCCGUGCGACUCGUAAAACCCAUGACUUCCGCAGAUGUGACCUUUGGGGUUGCCACAAGUUCAUGAGAGAAGCUGCCCUUGAGCGAUCAGCCAGUCUAAAGUCUGAUUGUUUCACCAUCCGGUGUGAUAUUGUGGUGUGCAAGGACAACACGCCAGAUGCCAUUGGCUCCGGCACCGGUACCGAGAUGCACCAACAUUUUAGCGAUCUCCUUCGGAAUAAGGUGGGUGCUGAUGUGACAUUCGAGGUCGGCGGCAAGACGUUCGCUGCACACCGGUGUGUGCUCGCUGCCAGGUCUGAAGUGUUCAUGGCGCACCUCUUUGGCACCGCUACGUCCAAUGUCAUACACAUCACAAAUAUGGAAACUAAAGUGUUUAGGGCUUUGCUUUGCUUCAUCUACACAGACUCUUCUCCUGAGAUGGAGGACAUCAUGGAGGAGGAAGUUGCGGAGCCAACACAAGAAGAGGCGGUAGAGGAUGAAAUGCUUCUGCAAUGGCUGCAAGACUUGUUUGUGGCGGCAGACAGAUACAAUCUCCAGCGGCUCAAGUUCAUAUGUGAAAAGCAGUUGUGUGAGCAUGUAGGUGUGAGCUCGGUGGUGUCCACUCUUGCUCUAGCCGAGCAGCACCACCGCCAUGGAUUGAAGGAGGCAUGCUUGAAGUUUAUCCAAGUCCUAUCUCCCUCGUGUUUGCAGACACUAAUGGCUACUGAUGGCGGGCAUAUAGCUACGACCUACCCCUCUGUUUUGUACGAGCUCAUUGCCAUGCUUGCUUCAAACCAGCGGAAAUGA
This 798-nucleotide ribosomal RNA is filed under the name Triticum aestivum (bread wheat). Its description in RNAcentral is "partial small subunit ribosomal RNA". The record is from RNAcentral. Lineage: Eukaryota; Viridiplantae; Streptophyta; Magnoliopsida; Poales; Poaceae.